ACGCUGGCGGCAGGCUUAACACAUGCAAGUCGAACGGUAGCAGGAGAAAGCUUGCUUUCUUGCUGACGAGUGGCGGACGGGUGAGUAAUGCUUGGGAAUCUGGCUUAUGGAGGGGGAUAACUACGGGAAACUGUAGCUAAUACCGCGUAGAAUCGGAAGAUGAAAGUGCGGGACCGUAAGGCCGCAUGCCAUGAGAUGAACCCAAGUGGGAUUAGGUAGUUGGUGGGGUAAAGGCCUACCAAGCCUGCGAUCUCUAGCUGGUCUGAGAGGAUGGCCAGCCACACUGGAACUGAGACACGGUCCAGACUCCUACGGGAGGCAGCAGUGGGGAAUAUUGCGCAAUGGGGGGAACCCUGACGCAGCCAUGCCGCGUGAAUGAAGAAGGCCUUCGGGUUGUAAAGUUCUUUCGGUAUUGAGGAAGGUUGAUGUGUUAAUAGUACAUCAAAUUGACGUUAAAUACAGAAGAAGCACCGGCUAACUCCGUGCCAGCAGCCGCGGUAAUACGGAGGGUGCGAGCGUUAAUCGGAAUAACUGGGCGUAAAGGGCACGCAGGCGGUUAUUUAAGUGAGGUGUGAAAGCCCCGGGCUUAACCUGGGAAUUGCAUUUCAGACUGGGUAACUAGAGUACUUUAGGGAGGGGUAGAAUUCCACGUGUAGCGGUGAAAUGCGUAGAGAUGUGGAGGAAUACCGAAGGCGAAGGCAGCCCCUUGGGAAUGUACUGACGCUCAUGUGCGAAAGCGUGGGGAGCAAACAGGAUUAGAUACCCUGGUAGUCCACGCUGUAAACGCUGUCGAUUUGGGGAUUGGGCUUAAAGCUUGGUGCCCGUAGCUAACGUGAUAAAUCGACCGCCUGGGGAGUACGGCCGCAAGGUUAAAACUCAAAUGAAUUGACGGGGGCCCGCACAAGCG
RNAcentral lists this ribosomal RNA (907 nucleotides) under uncultured bacterium. RNAcentral describes it as "bacterial SSU rRNA". It matches the Rfam family "Bacterial small subunit ribosomal RNA", at positions 33 to 931 of the family's 1533-position model. The record is from RNAcentral.